RNAcentral lists this ribosomal RNA (599 nucleotides) under Zea mays. RNAcentral describes it as "ITS1, 5.8S ribosomal RNA, ITS2". The stretch from base 223 to 378 matches the Rfam family "5.8S ribosomal RNA". Lineage: Eukaryota; Viridiplantae; Streptophyta; Magnoliopsida; Poales; Poaceae. The record is from RNAcentral.
CCGUGACCCUUAAACAAAACAGACCGCGAACGAGUCACCCGUGCCGCCGGGCUCCGGCCCGGCACGCUGCCCCCCCCCCCGAACCUCCCGCGGGGAAGGGGGGGCCGCGAAAAAGAACCCACGGCGCCCCGGGCGCCAAGGAACACCAGUACUACCUCCUGCCCCGCGGAGCGGUCGGCCCGCCUUCCGCUCCCCGGGCAGCGGCUACACCUUAAUCGACACGACUCUCGGCAACGGAUAUCUCGGCUCUCGCAUCGAUGAAGAACGUAGCAAAAUGCGAUACCUGGUGUGAAUUGCAGAAUCCCGCGAACCAUCGGGUUUUUGAACGCAAGUUGCGCCUGAAGCCUUCUGGCGGAGGGCACGUCUGCCUGGGCGUCACGCCAAAAGACACUCCCAACACCCCCCCCGCGGGGCGAGGGACGUGGCGUCUGGCCCCCCGCGCCGCAGGGCGAGGUGGGCCGAAGCAGGGGCUACCGGCGAACCGCGUCGGGCGCAGCACGUGGUGGGCGACAUCAAGUUGUUCUCGGUGCAGCGCCCCGGCGCGCGGCCGGCCAUUCGGCCCUAAGGACCCAUCGAGCGACCGAGCUUGCCCUCGGACC